CCCUUAGAUGUUCUGGGCUGCACACGUGCUACACUGGCAGGUUCAGCGAGCUUCAUGCCCUGAUCUGAAAGGAAUGGGAAAUCUUUUCAAAACCUGCCGUGCUUGGGAUAGAUGUUUGCAAUUAUUCAUCUUCAACUAGGAUUGCCUUGUAAGCGCACGUCAUCAGCGUGCAUUGAAUACGACCCUGUAUUCUGUACACACCGCCCGUCGCUCCUACCGAUUGAAGUUUUCGGUGAGUUGACAGGAGGAUUUUUUUGAAACUGGUUCGCCAGUGGAUUUUAGAUCCAAAUGCCAACGAAUCGAUGGCUUUAGAGGAAGGAGAAGUCGUAACA
Molecule: ribosomal RNA, 332 nt
Filed under: uncultured eukaryote
Lineage: Eukaryota
Description: partial 18S ribosomal RNA
Rfam family: Eukaryotic small subunit ribosomal RNA
Source: RNAcentral